ACAAAAAACCUCUGAGAGAGAUUGAAAAGGAAUGAUCAUAGCCAUGAAGAGAGCAAUAUUUAUAGGGCUUUUGUUCAUAAUUAUUUUUUGUACAUCUCUUUCAUGCUAUGCCUUUGAAGUUUCUUCCCCACCACAAUGCCAGUCUUUAUCGAAGGCAAAACACUUGAAGGAUGCACAUAAGAAAGUUGAUAUAAUGAGUUUCAGAAGACAUGGAAAGGGAUCAUAUGGUGGUGGAGAUCUCCUUCAUCCCCGUAACAGCCAUCGGAAUGGAGCUGCAAAAUCCAUCAUAUUGAAAUCCUCUUCCUUCCUCUCAACACUACGACUUAGAUAUGUUCUUGUUUUAGUUUUUGUUUUCUUGGUCUGAAUGCUCAUGGAAUAGUUAUAUGAAAACAUCAAAGCAAGAUUUGAGGAAAGCAAACUGAUGUUAACAUUAAUUCUUGUAUACUAUGAUUAAUUAGAUGGACAUGAUACCUACAAAUUUAGAGGAGAAUUCCAUUAAUUACUAUUCUUCU
Molecule: long non-coding RNA, 512 nt
Organism: Hevea brasiliensis (rubber tree)
Lineage: Eukaryota; Viridiplantae; Streptophyta; Magnoliopsida; Malpighiales; Euphorbiaceae
Exons: 2
Source: RefSeq, a predicted model, not a curated record